RNAcentral lists this ribosomal RNA (409 nucleotides) under bacterium. RNAcentral's name for it is "partial 16S ribosomal RNA". It matches the Rfam family "Bacterial small subunit ribosomal RNA", at positions 355 to 776 of the family's 1533-position model. The record is from RNAcentral.
UGGGGAAUAUUGCACAAUGGGCGAAAGCCUGAUGCAGCGACGCCGCGUGAGGGAUGACGGCCUUCGGGUUGUAAACCUCUUUCAGUAGGGACGAAGCGCGAGUGACGGUACCUGCAGAAGAAGCACCGGCUAACUACGUGCCAGCAGCCGCGGUAAUACGUAGGGUGCGAGCGUUGUCCGGAAUUACUGGGCGUAAAGAGCUCGUAGGCGGUUUGUCACGUCGUCUGUGAAAUCCUAGGGCUUAACCCUGGACGUGCAGGCGAUACGGGCUGACUUGAGUACUACAGGGGAGACUGGAAUUUCUGGUGUAGCGGUGGAAUGCACAGAUAUCAGGAAGAACACCGAUGGCGAAGGCAGGUCUCUGGGUAGUAACUGACGCUGAGGAGCGAAAGCAUGGGUAGCGAACAGG